This 361-nucleotide long non-coding RNA is filed under the name Hordeum vulgare. Its description in RNAcentral is "long non-coding RNA (HVUL_LNC019259)". The record is from RNAcentral. Lineage: Eukaryota; Viridiplantae; Streptophyta; Magnoliopsida; Poales; Poaceae.
GGCUAAGUUUUCAACUUGUCAAGUAGUCUAAUCACAUCCUCUAGAUAUACUUCAGAUCCUACAAGUGAUAUGAGAGCUUUGGUCUCCAUUGCAUUAGUUUCACAACCUAGGAGAGUAUGGCAUCUAGUGAGGGAAAUUAUCAACGUAGAUGUCCAUAUUUUGUUGGUCCAAACUUUGCUAGUUGGAAGCAUAAGAUGAAAACGCAUAUUGUUUGUCAUAAUCCUCCCGUUUGGGUUGUUGCUCGUGUUGGUGUGCAAGGUGAUUUCUUCGGAGAAGGAAGAUAACCGAAUCAUGAUGCUACAACGGAUGGAUUGAAGAUAUUGCAAUACAAUGCUCAAGCCCGUGAUAUCUUGUUCAACUC